Molecule: ribosomal RNA, 270 nt
Filed under: uncultured soil bacterium
Lineage: Bacteria
Description: partial 16S ribosomal RNA
Rfam family: Bacterial small subunit ribosomal RNA
Source: RNAcentral
AGGACGAACGCUGGCGGCGUGCCUAAUACAUGCAAGUCGAACGAGAGCGACCAGUGCUUGCACUGGUCAAUCUAGUGGCGAACGGGUGAGUAACACGUGGGUAACCUGCCCAUCAGAGGGGGAUAACAUUCGGAAACGGAUGCUAAAACCGCAUAGGUCUUCGAACCGCAUGGUUUGAAGAGGAAAAGAGGCGCAAGCUUCUGCUGAUGGAUGGACCCGCGGUGCAUUAGCUAGUUGGUGAGGUAACGGCUCACCAAGGCCUGAUGCAUA